UACGAAGGGGGCUAGCGUUGUUCGGAAUCACUGGGCGUAAAGGGCGCGUAGGCGGCUUUAUAAGUCGGGGGUGAAAGCCUGUGGCUCAACCACAGAAUUGCCUUCGAUACUGUAGAGCUUGAGACCGGAAGAGGUAAGUGGAACUGCGAGUGUAGAGGUGAAAUUCGUAGAUAUUCGCAAGAACACCAGUGGCGAAGGCGGCGACCUGGGUAGAUACUGACGCUGAGGUGCGAAAGCGUGGGGAGCAAACAGG
This 253-nucleotide ribosomal RNA is filed under the name uncultured bacterium. Its description in RNAcentral is "partial 16S ribosomal RNA". It matches the Rfam family "Bacterial small subunit ribosomal RNA", at positions 524 to 776 of the family's 1533-position model. The record is from RNAcentral.